GGCUUAGAGUUUGAUCCUGGCUCAGAUUGAACGCUGGCGGAAUGCUUUACACAUGCAAGUCGAACGGCAGCACGGGAGCUUGCUCCUGGUGGCGAGUGGCGAACGGGUGAGUAAUGCGUCGGAACGUAUCCAUUAAUGGGGGAUAACGCAGCGAAAGCUGUGCUAAUACCGCAUACGCCCUGAGGGGGAAAGCAGGGGAUCUUCGGACCUUGCGUUAUUGAGCGGCCGACGUCUGAUUAGCUAGUUGGUGGGGUAAAGGCCUACCAAGGCGACGAUCAGUAGCUGGUCUGAGAGGAUGAUCAGCCACACUGGAACUGAGACGCGGUCCAGACUCCUACGGGAGGCAGCAGUGGGGAAUUUUGGACAAUGGGCGCAAGCCUGAUCCAGCCAUUCCGCGUGAGUGAAGAAGGCCUUCGGGUUGUAAAGCUCUUUCGGCAGGGAAGAAACAGUUGAGGCUAAUAUCCUUGACCAAUGACGGUACCUGCAUAAGAAGCACCGGCUAACUACGUGCCAGCAGCCGCGGUAAUACGUAGGGUGCGAGCGUUAAUCGGAAUUACUGGGCGUAAAGCGUGCGCAGGCGGUUUUUCAAGUCUGAUGUGAAAGCCCCGGGCUUAACCUGGGAACUGCGUUGGAAACUGAAAGACUAGAGUACGGCAGAGGGGGGUAGAAUUCCACGUGUAGCAGUGAAAUGCGUAGAUAUGUGGAGGAAUACCGAUGGCGAAGGCAGCCCCCUGGGUCGAUACUGACGCUCAUGCACGAAAGCGUGGGUAGCAAACAGGAUUAGAUACCCUGGUAGUCCACGCCCUAAACGAUGUCAACUAGUUGUUGGGGAGGGAGACCUCCUUAGUAACGCAGCUAACGCGUGAAGUUGACCGCCUGGGGAGUACGUCGCAAGAUUAAAACUCAAAGGAAUUGACGGGGGCCCGCACAAGCGGUGGAUUAUGUGGAUUAAUUCGAUGCAACGCGAAAAACCUUACCUACCCUUGACAUGUACGGAACUUGCCAGAAAUGGCUUGGUGCUCGAAAGAGAACCGUAACACAGGUGCUGCAUGGCUGUCGUCAACUCGUGUCGUGAGAUGUUGGGUUAAGUCCCGCAACGAGCGCAACCCUUGCCAUUAGUUGCUACAUUCAGUUGAGCACUCUAAUGGGACUGCCGGUGACAAACCGGAGGAAGGUGGGGAUGACGUCAAGUCCUCAUGGCCCUUAUGGGUAGGGCUUCACACGUAAUACAAUGGUCGGUACAGAGGGUUGCCAACCCGCGAGGGGGAGCCAAUCCCAGAAAGCCGAUCGUAGUCCGGAUCGGAGUCUGCAACUCGACUCCGUGAAGUCGGAAUCGCUAGUAAUCGCGGAUCAGCAUGUCGCGGUGAAUACGUUCCCGGGCCUUGUACACACCGCCCGUCACACCAUGGGAGUGGGUAUUACCAGAAGCAGGUAGCUUAACCUUCGGGAGGGCGCUUGCCACGGUAGGAUUCAUGACUGGGGUGAAGUCGUAACAAGGUAACCAAGC
This 1507-nucleotide ribosomal RNA is filed under the name uncultured bacterium. Its description in RNAcentral is "bacterial SSU rRNA". It matches the Rfam family "Bacterial small subunit ribosomal RNA". The record is from RNAcentral.